AGAGAAUCAUAAACAGGAACAUUGCAGUUCUUACCUUUACCAAGCACAUAGGCAGUCAAUUAUUGGCUUGGUGCUUCUGAUCUGAACAUAGAGGGGAAAUGGCUGAGGGAAGGACAACGACGCAUGAACUACACAAACUGGAAUCCAGGACAACCUGAUAAUGCAGGAGGU
Long non-coding RNA from Haliotis rubra (blacklip abalone), 171 nucleotides. RefSeq lists it as uncharacterized. Lineage: Eukaryota; Metazoa; Mollusca; Gastropoda; Lepetellida; Haliotidae. The record is from RefSeq and is a predicted model, not a curated record. The transcript is spliced from 2 exons.